GAUGAACGCUGGCGGCGUGCCUAAUACAUGCAAGUCGAGCGAACGGACGAGAAGCUUGCUUUUCUGAUGUUAGCGGCGGGCGGGUGAGUAACACGUGGAUAACCUACCUAUAAGACUGGGAUAACUUCGGGAAACCGGAGCUAAUACCGGAUAAUAUUUUGAACCGCAUGGUUCAAAAGUGAAAGACGGUCUUGCUGUCACUUAUAGAUGGAUCCGCGCUGCAUUAGCUAGUUGGUAAGGUAACGGCUUACCAAGGCAACGAUGCAUAGCCGAACUGAGAGGCUGAUCGGCCACACUGGAACUGAGCCACGGUCCAUACUCCUACGGGAGGCAGCAGUAGGGAAUCUUCCGCAAUGGUCGAAAGCCUGACGGAGCAACGCCGCGUGAGUUACGACGGUCUUCGGAUCGUAAAACUCUCUUAUUAGGGAUGAACCUAUGUGUAAGUAACUGUGCCCUUCUUGACGGUACCUAAUCAGAAAGCAACGGCUAACUACGUG
RNAcentral lists this ribosomal RNA (497 nucleotides) under uncultured bacterium. RNAcentral describes it as "partial 16S ribosomal RNA". It matches the Rfam family "Bacterial small subunit ribosomal RNA", at positions 28 to 507 of the family's 1533-position model. The record is from RNAcentral.